UUACGGAGAGGUACACUAAAUUGCCCAUCAUUCGGUCGAACUUGUAAACAUCGAAAGUGGAAGUACAAAACUGGAGCAAUCAAAUUGUUGGCAAACAGCAGCACAAGAAAUGUAGAUGAAUUGCUGUAUGCCUGUAAUAAACUGAGGUUCAGACCAGCAAGAACUGAGGUUCAGACCAGCACUUGACACUUUGAAUCAAUCCCAGGAGUGUUAUAAUCAUUUCGGAUCAUUAGGACACAGAAGUGAAAUCAGACCAUAUAAGUCAUGCUGACCUGGAUUAGCUGCUGGUGAGGCACGGUAAAAUUGGCUAUCCCUCG
Molecule: long non-coding RNA, 317 nt
Filed under: Daucus carota (carrot)
Lineage: Eukaryota; Viridiplantae; Streptophyta; Magnoliopsida; Apiales; Apiaceae
Description: long non-coding RNA (DCAR_LNC000351)
Source: RNAcentral